Molecule: ribosomal RNA, 748 nt
Filed under: uncultured beta proteobacterium
Lineage: Bacteria; Pseudomonadati; Pseudomonadota; Betaproteobacteria
Description: bacterial SSU rRNA
Rfam family: Bacterial small subunit ribosomal RNA
Source: RNAcentral
AGUCGAACGGCAGCAUGGAGAGCUUGCUCUCUGAUGGCGAGUGGCGAACGGGUGAGUAAUAUAUCGGAACGUGCCUAGUAGUGGGGAACAACCAGCCGAAAGGUUGGCUAAUACCGCAUACGACCUACGGGUGAAAGCAGGGGAUCUUCGGACCUUGCGCUAUUAGAGCGGCCGAUAUCUGAUUAGGUAGUUGGUGGGGUAAAGGCCUACCAAGCCGACGAUCAGUAGCUGGUCUGAGAGGACGAUCAGCCACACUGGAACUGAGACACGGUCCAGACUCCUACGGGAGGCAGCAGUGGGGAAUUUUGGACAAUGGGGGAAACCCUGAUCCAGCCAUUCCGCGUGAGUGAAGAAGGCCUUCGGGUUGUAAAGCUCUUUCGCAAGGGAAGAAAUUUUAUUGUCGAAUAAACAGUAAAGAUGACGGUACCUUGAGAAGAAGCACCGGCUAACUACGUGCCAGCAGCCGCGGUAAUACGUAGGGUGCGAGCGUUAAUCGGAAUUACUGGGCGUAAAGCGUGCGCAGGCGGUUUUGUAAGUCAGAUGUGAAAUCCCCGAGCUUAACUUGGGAACUGCGUUUGAAACUACAAGACUAGAGUGUGUCAGAGGGGGGUAGAAUUCCACGUGUAGCAGUGAAAUGCGUAGAGAUGUGGAGGAAUACCAAUGGCGAAGGCAGCCCCCUGGGAUAACACUGACGCUCAUGCACGAAAGCGUGGGGAGCGAACAGGAUUAGAUACCCUGGUAGAAGGGC